Molecule: transfer RNA, 78 nt
Filed under: Sphingobacteriaceae bacterium
Lineage: Bacteria; Pseudomonadati; Bacteroidota; Sphingobacteriia; Sphingobacteriales; Sphingobacteriaceae
Description: tRNA-Val
Rfam family: tRNA
About the family: Transfer RNA (tRNA) molecules are approximately 80 nucleotides in length. Their secondary structure includes four short double-helical elements and three loops (D, anti-codon, and T loops).
Source: RNAcentral
GGGAGCUUAGCUCAGUUGGUUUAGAGCAUUACCUCGACAAGGUAAGGGUCGCUGGUUCGAGCCCAGUAGCUCCCACGA